Molecule: long non-coding RNA, 1258 nt
Organism: Schistocerca gregaria
Lineage: Eukaryota; Metazoa; Arthropoda; Insecta; Orthoptera; Acrididae
Exons: 3
Source: RefSeq, a predicted model, not a curated record
UAUUGUUUGUGCACUGGCGGCGGACGGAAGUGCAUUCCUCUUAGUAUAGAAGUAGGCUACAGCAGGGAAAGUGAAUACCGGUAACUGGUCCAGGAAAUAUUACAAUUCAUCGAAUGUUAUCAAGCAGAACCCUGCAUUUGGGACCCGAGGAAUAAAGACCAUAAAAUUAAAAAAAAUGUCUGAUGAGUGGAGUCGUCUCAGUGAAGUUUUAAAGAAACCUGUAAAGGACAUAAAAACAAAAGAAAAUUCUUAUCGUCACAUUUCGUAAACAUUUAAAGAAGAAACAAGAUUGCAUUCGUUCUGGCUCAGGAGUCGAAGAAAAUAUUUAGGAACCAGUUUGGUUUGCAUACCAGCUUAUGGGAUCGUUUCUUCUGCCAGUAUAUAACAACAAGAUGGGUUUGAACUCAGAUAUGCAAUCAAGAUCUUCAGGAACAGCUGGCAACGAAAUGGUGAAUGAAGCCAAGGAGACAGAAAGUUAUAAUAGUGUGGUGGGUUCCUCGACUUCUGCAUCUACGGUUUUUUCACCAUCUACAAGUAAAUCUAAGGAGAAAUCUCAUCGUCACACUGCUUCAAAUAUAGCGGAACAGCUAAUGACCAGGGCAUUUCGUCAAUUAACGAAUGUACUUAGUCAACGUCCAUCAUGUACAAAGGCUGAAGAUGAUGAAUGUGAUAUGUAUGGCAAGCUAUUAGCCAAAAAGAUGCAGGAACUUCCUCAAGACGACAGGAAAUUAAUGAUGUAUGAAAUAGAUGGUUUAUUUAUCAAAAGAAGUAAACAGAGGUCAUUUUCAUGUGAAACACCAUCCCCUCAAUAUUCAUUUCAGUAUUCUAGACUAUCAUCAGUGUCAAGCGGAUAUAUAGUAGUACCAAACUGCUCAGCAUAUGUUCAGACAUCAUUUUCUGAACCUUCUACCCCAACUCAUGACCCCUGCACUACCAAUCCCAUCUCCAAUUUUGAAAGAUCCUCCACUCCUUUACCACCACCACAUAUCCUUGAAAUAGACAUGACAACAUAACUAUUUACUCAACCAAAUCCAACCCUUCACAGCCCACCUCUACAAUUACUGUAAUACUGGUACCGGUAUCUGAUGGAAUAAUCGUGCUUCAGAGACAAAACAUUAUUAAUGAAGCAUUCGAGAAAGCUUACAAAGAUUUUGAGCAGUAUGAUACUAGAGCAUAAGUAAUAACAAUUGUACAGAUCACUGAUUAAUAUUUUUGUACACCUAGCUCUUCAAACUAAUAAAAAAUAUCAAAAACAAAA